RNAcentral lists this ribosomal RNA (526 nucleotides) under uncultured bacterium. RNAcentral describes it as "bacterial SSU rRNA". It matches the Rfam family "Bacterial small subunit ribosomal RNA", at positions 9 to 568 of the family's 1533-position model. The record is from RNAcentral.
GAGUUUGAUCCUGGCUCAGAACGAACGCUGGCGGCAUGCCUUAUACAUGCAAGUCGAACGAGAAAGUCACUUCGGUGGCGAGUACAGUGGCGCACGGGUGAGUAACGCGUAGAUGAUCUACCCUUCAGUCUGGGACAACUCUUGGAAACGAGAGCUAAUACCGGAUAAAACCUUCGGGUUGAAAGAUUUAUCGCUGGGGGAUGAGUCUGCGUACCAUUAGCUUGUUGGUGGGGUAACGGCCUACCAAGGCGACGAUGGUUAGCGGGUCUGAGAGGACGAUCCGCCACACUGGAACUGAGACACGGUCCAGACUCCUACGGGAGGCAGCAGUAGGGAAUAUUGCGCAAUGGGGGCAACCCUGACGCAGCAAUGCCGCGUGAGUGAAGAAGGCCUUCGGGUCGUAAAGCUCUUUUAUGGGGGAAGAUGAUGACGAUACCCCAUGAAUAAGCACCGGCUAACUACGUGCCAGCAGCCGCGGUAAUACGUAGGGUGCGAGCGUUGUUCGGAAUUACUGGGCGUAAAGGGC